UGGGGAAUUUUGGACAAUGGGCGAAAGCCUGAUCCAGCAAUGCCGCGUGUGUGAAGAAGGCCUUCGGGUUGUAAAGCACUUUUGUCCGGAAAGAAAUCCUUGGCUCUAAUACAGUCGGGGGAUGACGGUACCGGAAGAAUAAGCACCGGCUAACUACGUGCCAGCAGCCGCGGUAAUACGUAGGGUGCAAGCGUUAAUCGGAAUUACUGGGCGUAAAGCGUGCGCAGGCGGUUUGCUAAGACCGAUGUGAAAUCCCCGGGCUCAACCUGGGAACUGCAUUGGUGACUGGCAGGCUAGAGUAUGGCAGAGGGGGGUAGAAUUCCACGUGUAGCAGUGAAAUGCGUAGAGAUGUGGAGGAAUACCGAUGGCGAAGGCAGCCCCCUGGGCCAAUACUGACGCUCAUGCACGAAAGCGUGGGGAGCAAACAGGAUUAGAUACCCUGGUAGUCCACGCCCUAAAACGAUGUCAACUAGUUGUUGGGGAUUCAUUUCCUUAGUAACGUAGCUAACGCGUGAAGUUGACCGCCUGGGGAGUACGGUCGCAAGAUUAAAAACUUCAAAUGGAAUUGACGGGGUCAUAGCUGUUUCCU
RNAcentral lists this ribosomal RNA (589 nucleotides) under uncultured bacterium. RNAcentral describes it as "partial 16S ribosomal RNA". It matches the Rfam family "Bacterial small subunit ribosomal RNA", at positions 355 to 1375 of the family's 1533-position model. The record is from RNAcentral.